RNAcentral lists this Y RNA (110 nucleotides) under Propithecus coquereli (Coquerel's sifaka). RNAcentral's name for it is "Y RNA (ENSPCOG00000000369.1)". It matches the Rfam family "Y RNA". From Rfam's summary of the family: Y RNAs are components of the Ro ribonucleoprotein particle (Ro RNP), in association with Ro60 and La proteins. The Y RNAs and Ro60 and La proteins are well conserved, but the function of the Ro RNP is not known. In humans the RNA component can be one of four small RNAs -- hY1, hY3, hY4 and hY5. The record is from Rfam by way of RNAcentral. Lineage: Eukaryota; Metazoa; Chordata; Mammalia; Primates; Indriidae.
GGCUGGACCAAAGGUAGUGAGUUAUCUCGAGUGAUUGUUCACAGUUGCAGAUCCAACUCCUUUGCCCUAUUCUCUUCCCCAUUCCCACCAUUGCACUUGACUAGUCUUAA